GACGAACGCUGGCGGCGUGCUUAACACAUGCAAGUCGAACGGAAAGGCCCUGCUUUUGUGGGGUGCUCGAGUGGCGAACGGGUGAGUAACAAGUGAGUAACCUGCCCUUGACUUUGGGAUAACUUCAGGAAACUGGGGCUAAUACCGGAUAGGAGCUCCUGCUGCAUGGUGGGGGUUGGAAAGUUUCGGUGGUUGGGGAUGGAGUCGCGGCUUAUGAGCUUGUUGGUGGGGUAGUGGCUUACCAAGGCUUUGGCGGGUAGCCGGCCUGGGAGGGUGACCGGCUACGGUGGCAUUGGGACGGGGCCCAGGCCCCGACGGGGGCGGGAGGGGGGAGUUGGGAAAUAUGGGCAAGGGGCGAAAUCCGGCAGCGCCGCGGGCGGGGGAUUGACAUGGCGUUUGGGUCCCACAAACCCUUUGGACAGGGCGAAAAUGACAGUACUAGAAAAAGAAGGUCCGGCUAACUACGUG
This 468-nucleotide ribosomal RNA is filed under the name uncultured bacterium. Its description in RNAcentral is "partial 16S ribosomal RNA". It matches the Rfam family "Bacterial small subunit ribosomal RNA", at positions 28 to 507 of the family's 1533-position model. The record is from RNAcentral.